Molecule: transfer RNA, 87 nt
Filed under: Gammaproteobacteria bacterium
Lineage: Bacteria; Pseudomonadati; Pseudomonadota; Gammaproteobacteria
Description: tRNA-Leu
Rfam family: tRNA
About the family: Transfer RNA (tRNA) molecules are approximately 80 nucleotides in length. Their secondary structure includes four short double-helical elements and three loops (D, anti-codon, and T loops). Further hydrogen bonds mediate the characteristic L-shaped molecular structure. tRNAs have two regions of fundamental functional importance: the anti-codon, which is responsible for specific mRNA codon recognition, and the 3' end, to which the tRNAs corresponding amino acid is attached (by aminoacyl-tRNA synthetases). tRNAs cope with the degeneracy of the genetic code in two manners: having more than one tRNA (with a specific anti-codon) for a particular amino acid; and 'wobble' base-pairing, i.e. permitting non-standard base-pairing at the 3rd anti-codon position.
Source: RNAcentral
GCCCGGGUGGUGGAAUUGGUAGACACAAGGGACUUAAAAUCCCUCGGCAGUAAUGCCGUGCGAGUUCAAGUCUCGCUCCGGGCACCA